RNAcentral lists this ribosomal RNA (132 nucleotides) under uncultured bacterium. RNAcentral's name for it is "partial 16S ribosomal RNA". It matches the Rfam family "Bacterial small subunit ribosomal RNA", at positions 356 to 504 of the family's 1533-position model. The record is from RNAcentral.
UAGGAAUAUUCGUCAAUGGAGGAAACUCUGACGCAGUGACGCCGCGUAUAGGAAGAAGGUUUUCGGAUUGUAAACUAUUGUCCAUAGGGAAGAUAAAAGACUGUACCUAUGAAGAAAGCUCCGGCUAACUAC